UACAGAGGAGCCAAGCGUUGUCCGGAUUGACUGGGCGUAAAGCGCACGCAGGCGGGGUUGUGCGCGUGGGGUGUGAAAUCUGGCCGCUUAACGGCCAGGCGCCAAUCCCAUACGGCACGCCUGGAGUGAUGCAGAGGUCGAAUGGAAUUGCCGGUGUAGUGGUGAAAUGCGUAGAGAUCGGCAGGAACACCCAGGGGGAAACCAGUCGACUGGGCAUCUACUGACGCUGAGGUGGCGAGAGCGUGGGGAGCGAACCGG
Molecule: ribosomal RNA, 258 nt
Filed under: uncultured bacterium
Lineage: Bacteria
Description: partial 16S ribosomal RNA
Rfam family: Bacterial small subunit ribosomal RNA
Source: RNAcentral